Oncorhynchus keta (chum salmon) is the source of this 248-nucleotide long non-coding RNA. RefSeq lists it as uncharacterized. The record is from RefSeq and is a predicted model, not a curated record. NCBI's taxonomy places the organism in Eukaryota, Metazoa, Chordata, Actinopteri, Salmoniformes, Salmonidae. The transcript is spliced from 3 exons.
GACGAAGAGGUCGAAAAUGUAGGUAUUGCCAGAUAUUGUCACUGUCCGAGGAACAUGCUGUGGAAGCGUUAUUGCUGGCAAAACCAGAGGACAUAUCAGAUGUUUUGGGUGAACUCCUCCUGAAUCUGAACUGGCUGACACAGAAGGCACAGCAUGAUUAUAGGUAUGUUUUGAUGUGAGAGAGGAAGCCAGUCCAGUCAUCACCACCUCACCCACUCGUAAGAUAACCUUUGGGGCCCAAGGCUGGU